AGGUUACUGCUAUCGGUGUUCGCCUAAGCCAUGCGAGUCAUAUGUUCUUCGUGAACAUGGCGUACUGCUCAGUAACACGUGGAUAACCUGCCCUUGGGUCCGGCAUAACCCCGGGAAACUGGGGAUAAUUCCGGAUAACGCACAUAUGCUGGAAUGCUUUAUGCGUCAAAUGGAUUCGUCCGCCCAAGGAUGGGUCUGCGGCCUAUCAGGUAGUAGUGGGUGUAAUGUACCUACUAGCCUGCGACGGGUACGGGUUGUGAGAGCAAGAGCCCGGAGAUGGAUUCUGAGACAUGAAUCCAGGCCCUACGGGGCGCAGCAGGCGCGAAAACUUUACAAUGCGGGAAACCGUGAUAAGGGGACACCGAGUGCCAGCAUCAUAUGUUGGCUGUCCGGGUGUGUAAAAUACACCUGUUAGCAAGGGCCGGGCAAGACCGGUGCCAGCCGCCGCGGUAACACCGGCGGCCCGAGUGGUGAUCGUGAUUAUUGGGUCUAAAGGGUCCGUAGCCGGUUUGGUCAGUCCUCCGGGAAAUCUGACGGCUUAACCGUUAGGCUUUCGGGGGAUACUGCCAGACUUGGAACCGGGAGAGGUAAGAGGUACUACAGGGGUAGGAGUGAAAUCUUGUAAUCCCUGUGGGACCACCUGUGGCGAAGGCGUCUUACCAGAACGGGUUCGACGGUGAGGGACGAAAGCUGGGGGCACGAACCGGAUUAGAUACCCGGGUAGUCCCAGCCGUAAACGAUGCUCGCUAGGUGUCAGGCAUGGCGCGACCGUGUCUAGUGCCGCAGGGAAGCCGUGAAGCGAGCCACCUGGGAAGUACGGCCGCAAGGCUGAAACUUAA
Molecule: ribosomal RNA, 839 nt
Filed under: uncultured archaeon
Lineage: Archaea
Description: bacterial SSU rRNA
Rfam family: Archaeal small subunit ribosomal RNA
Source: RNAcentral